AGAGUUUGAUCAUGGCUCAGGACGAACGCUGGCGGCGUGCCUAAUACAUACAAGUCGAGCGCGAGAAGCAAGCAGAUUCCUUCAAAAAGAAACUUGUGGAACGAGCGGCGGAUGGGUGAGUAACACGUAGGUAACCUACCUAUAAACUUAAAAUAACUUCGGGAAACCGGAGCUAAUACCGAAUAUACUUUUACUCUAAGAAGUAGAAAGUGAAAGACGGUUCUGCUGUCACUUACAGAUGGGCCUGCGGCGCAUUAGCUAGUUGAUAAGGUAAGAGCUUACCAAGGCGACGAUGCAUAGCCGACCUGAGAGGGUGAUCGGCCACACUGGGACUGAGACACGGCCCAGACUCCUACGGGAGGCAGCAGUAAAGAAUCUUCCGCAAUGGACGCAAAUCUGACAAAACAACACCGCGUGAGUGAGGAAGGUUUUCGGAUCGUAAAGCUCUGUUGUGAGGGAAGAACACAAAUAGAAAUCACUGCCUAUCCCUUGACGGUACCUCACCAGCAAGCCACGGCUAACUACGUGCCAGCAGCCGCGGUAAUACGUAGAUAGCAAACGUUGUCCGAAAUUAUUGGGCGUAAAGAACACGCAGACGGUCUUAUAAGUCUGAUGUGAAAUCCCACGGCUCAACCGUGGAAGGUCAUUGGAAACUAUAGGACUUGAGUACAAAAAAGGAGAGUGGAAUUCCACGUGUAGCGGUGAAAUGCGUAGAGAUAUGAAAGAACACCAGUGGCGAAGGCGGCUCUCUGGUCUGUUACUGACGCUGAGGCGCGAAAGCGUGGGUAGCGAACAGGAUUAAAUACCCUGGUAGUCCACGCUGUAAACGAUGAGUGCUAGGUGUUGGAGGCUUCCACCCUCAGUGCCGGAGCUAACACAUUAAGCACUCCGCCUGGGGAGUACGGCCGCAAGGCUGAAACUCAAAGGAAUUGACAAAGACCCGCACAAACAAUGGAGCAUGUGGUUUAAUUCGAAGCAACGCGAAGAACCUUACCAGGUCUUGACAUCCCGAUGGUCGCUAUGAAAACAUAAUUUUCCCUUCGGGGACAUCGGUGACAGGUGGUGCAUGGUUAUCGUCAGCUCGUGUCGUGAGAUGUUGGGUUAAGUCCCGCAACGAGCGCAACCCUUAAAAAUAGUUGCCAUCAUUCAGUUGGGCACUCUACUCUGACUGCCAAUGACAAACCGGAGGAAGGUGGGGAUGACGUCAAAUCAUCAUGCCCCUUAUGACCUGAGCUACACACAUACUACAAUGGAUGGUACAACAAACAGCGAACCCGCAAGGGGGAGCGAAUCCCACAAAGCCAUUCUCAGUUCGGAUUGCAGGCUGCAACUCGCCUGCAUGAAGUCGGAAUCGCUAGUAAUCGCGGAUCAGCAUGCCGCGGUGAAUCCGUUCCCAAAUCUUGUACACACCGCCCGUCACACCACAAGAGUUUGUAACACCCGAAGUCGGUGGGGCAACCGCAAGGAACUAGCCGCCGAAGGUGGGACAAAUGAUUGGGAUGAAGUCGUAACAAGGUAGCCGUA
Molecule: ribosomal RNA, 1524 nt
Filed under: uncultured Bacillota bacterium
Lineage: Bacteria; Bacillati; Bacillota
Description: bacterial SSU rRNA
Rfam family: Bacterial small subunit ribosomal RNA
Source: RNAcentral